This 404-nucleotide ribosomal RNA is filed under the name Verrucomicrobiota bacterium. RNAcentral describes it as "Verrucomicrobia bacterium partial 16S ribosomal RNA". It matches the Rfam family "Bacterial small subunit ribosomal RNA", at positions 355 to 776 of the family's 1533-position model. The record is from RNAcentral. Lineage: Bacteria; Pseudomonadati; Verrucomicrobiota.
UGGGGAAUAUUGCACAAUGGGGGAAACCCUGAUGCAGCGACGCCGCGUGAGCGAAGAAGGUUUUCGAAUCGUAAAGCUCUGUCCUAUGAGAAGAUAAUGACGGUAUCAUAGGAGGAAGCCCCGGCUAACUUCGUGCCAGCAGCCGCGGUAAUACGAAGGGGGCUAGCGUUGUUCGGAUUUACUGGGCGUAAAGCGCACGUAGGCGGACUAUUAAGUCAGGGGUGAAAUCCCGGGGCUCAACCCCGGAACUGCCUUUGAUACUGGUAGUCUUGAGUUCGAGAGAGGUGAGUGGAAUUCCGAGUGUAGAGGUGAAAUUCGUAGAUAUUCGGAGGAACACCAGUGGCGAAGGCGGCUCACUGGCUCGAUACUGACGCUGAGGUGCGAAAGCGUGGGGAGCAAACAGG